GACGAACGCUGGCGGCGUGCUUAACACAUGCAAGUCGAACGGAAAGGCCCUGCUUGCAGGGUACUCGAGUGGCGAACGGGUGAGUAACACGUGGGUGAUCUGCCCUGCACUUCGGGAUAAGCCUGGGAAACUGGGUCUAAUACCGGAUAGGAGCCAUUUUUAGUGUGAUGGUUGGAAAGUUUUUUCGGUGUAGGAUGAGCUCGCGGCCUAUCAGCUUGUUGGUGGGGUAAUGGCCUACCAAGGCGGCGACGGGUAGCCGGCCUGAGAGGGUGGACGGCCACAUUGGGACUGAGGUACGGCCCAGACUCCUACGGGAGGCAGCAGUGGGGAAUAUUGCACAAGGGGCGCAAGCCUGAUGCAGCGACGCCGCGUGGGGGAUGACGGCCUUCGGGUUGUAAACUCCUUUCGCUAGGGACGAAGCUUUUUGUGACGGUACCUAGAUAAGAAGCACCGGCUAACUACGUG
Molecule: ribosomal RNA, 465 nt
Filed under: uncultured bacterium
Lineage: Bacteria
Description: partial 16S ribosomal RNA
Rfam family: Bacterial small subunit ribosomal RNA
Source: RNAcentral